Molecule: unclassified non-coding RNA, 774 nt
Filed under: Hevea brasiliensis (rubber tree)
Lineage: Eukaryota; Viridiplantae; Streptophyta; Magnoliopsida; Malpighiales; Euphorbiaceae
Source: RNAcentral
AUUUUCCGAUGCUUGAGCAACUAAAACUGUAUGGGUUGCAUAAACUGGAGGAGAUUCCAGAGAGUAUUGGAGAUAUAAUGACACUAAAAUUCAUCGAGAUAAAACGUUGCAGCUCUGGUGUAGAGAAUAGUGCAAAGAGAAUUCAACAAGAGCAAGAGAGCUUGGGAAAUUAUGAGCUUCAGCUUCAAAUUAUUACUGCAAAGAGGGAAUGAAGAAAGCUGGUGAUAAUUAUACUGCUAAUUACAUACUUCCACAUCUUCUCAAUUUAUAUGCAUCGCAAGCCAAAUCACAAGAUUUUGAGAUUUAUGCUCCAAAUGCGACGUUUGAAGAUCCCCUUAUGCGUGCAGAAGGGGUAAAGCAGAUAAAAUCUUCAUUUUAUUCGCUGGGAAAGGUGUUCAGUGAGUCGAGAAUCGUGGAGUAUAACGUCACAGAGAAAGAAAUAUCUCCUGGAAAUACAGAGAUUUUAAUCGACAACAAACAAUAUUACAAGUUCUUGGGGAAAGACAUUCAUAUGAUAUCGCUAAUCAAGUUGUACACGGAAGGAGGAAAGGUCAUUCGUCAUGAAGACUGCUGGGAUAAGAAACCUUUACGGAAUAGGGAGACGGUGAAUGUACCACUUGUUGGGCGCAUGAUUGAGGUAUCUCGUAGAGCUUCGAUGUUUUUAACACAUGCUCUAAUGGGGUUUGGAAAAGAUCCCUCCAUGUAAAUUGCAGUACACUGUUUUUAAGUAUUUCAAUUAGUUUUUACCUAGCUGCAACUUUUGAAACAUGUAAG